This 492-nucleotide ribosomal RNA is filed under the name uncultured bacterium. RNAcentral's name for it is "partial 16S ribosomal RNA". It matches the Rfam family "Bacterial small subunit ribosomal RNA", at positions 28 to 507 of the family's 1533-position model. The record is from RNAcentral.
GAUGAACGCUAGCUACAGGCUUAACACAUGCAAGUCGAGGGGAAACGACAUCGAAAGCUUGCUUUUGAUGGGCGUCGACCGGCGCACGGGUGAGUAACGCGUAUCCAACCUGCCCAUCACUUGGGGAUAACCUUGCGAAAGUAAGACUAAUACCCAAUGAUAUCUCUAGAAGACAUCUGAAAGAGAUUAAAGAUUUAUCGGUGAUGGAUGGGGAUGCGUCUGAUUAGCUUGUUGGCGGGGUAACGGCCCACCAAGGCAACGAUCAGUAGGGGUUCUGAGAGGAAGGUCCCCCACAUUGGAACUGAGACACGGUCCAAACUCCUACGGGAGGCAGCAGUGAGGAAUAUUGGUCAAUGGGCGAGAGCCUGAACCAGCCAAGUAGCGUGCAGGAAGACGGACCUAUGGGUUGUAAACUGCUUUUAUAAGGGAAUAAAGUGAGAGUCGUGACUCUUUUUGUAUGUACCUUAUGAAUAAGGACCGGCUAAUUCCGUG